GGUUUCUUAGCUCAGUUGUAGAGCGCGUGGUUUUUAACCACGAGGUGGUGGGUUCAAUCCCCACAGAAGGUG
This 72-nucleotide transfer RNA is filed under the name Ipomoea nil (Japanese morning glory). It matches the Rfam family "tRNA". From Rfam's summary of the family: Transfer RNA (tRNA) molecules are approximately 80 nucleotides in length. Their secondary structure includes four short double-helical elements and three loops (D, anti-codon, and T loops). Further hydrogen bonds mediate the characteristic L-shaped molecular structure. tRNAs have two regions of fundamental functional importance: the anti-codon, which is responsible for specific mRNA codon recognition, and the 3' end, to which the tRNAs corresponding amino acid is attached (by aminoacyl-tRNA synthetases). tRNAs cope with the degeneracy of the genetic code in two manners: having more than one tRNA (with a specific anti-codon) for a particular amino acid; and 'wobble' base-pairing, i.e. permitting non-standard base-pairing at the 3rd anti-codon position. The record is from Rfam by way of RNAcentral. Lineage: Eukaryota; Viridiplantae; Streptophyta; Magnoliopsida; Solanales; Convolvulaceae.